GUCCCUGUAGAUCAACGGUCAGAUCGUCAGGCUUUCAACCUGGAGACCGGGGUUCAACUCCCCGCAGGGAUACCA
Molecule: transfer RNA, 75 nt
Filed under: Syntrophomonadaceae bacterium
Lineage: Bacteria; Bacillati; Bacillota; Clostridia; Eubacteriales; Syntrophomonadaceae
Description: tRNA-Glu
Rfam family: tRNA
About the family: Transfer RNA (tRNA) molecules are approximately 80 nucleotides in length.
Source: RNAcentral